This 516-nucleotide ribosomal RNA is filed under the name uncultured bacterium. RNAcentral describes it as "bacterial SSU rRNA". It matches the Rfam family "Bacterial small subunit ribosomal RNA", at positions 30 to 524 of the family's 1533-position model. The record is from RNAcentral.
UGAACGCUGCGGCAUGCCUAACACAUGCAAGUCGAACGGAAACGACGAAAACAAUCCCUUCGGGGUGCGUCUUCGGGCGUCGAGUGGCGGACGGGUGCGUAACGCGUAGGAAUCUACCUUUUAGUGGGGGACAACUCGGGGAAACUCGAGCUAAUACCGCAUAAGCCUUACGAGGGAAAGCAGGGGAUCUUCGGACCUUGCGCUAUUAGAUGAGCCUGCGUCGGAUUAGCUAGUUGGUAGGGUAAUGGCCUACCAAGGCGACGAUCCGUAGCUGGUCUGAGAGGAUGAUCAGCCACACUGGGACUGAGACACGGCCCAGACUCCUACGGGAGGCAGCAGUGGGGAAUAUUGGACAAUGGGCGCAAGCCUGAUCCAGCAAUGCCGCGUGUGUGAAGAAGGCCUUAGGGUUGUAAAGCACUUUCAGUAGGGAAGAAAAGCACAGGAUUAAUACUCCUGUGUCUUGACGGUACCUACAGAAGAAGCACCGGCUAACUCCGUGCCAGCAGCCGCGGUAAU